RNAcentral lists this ribosomal RNA (628 nucleotides) under Clostridioides difficile. RNAcentral's name for it is "partial 23S ribosomal RNA". It matches the Rfam family "Bacterial large subunit ribosomal RNA", at positions 1 to 634 of the family's 2925-position model. The record is from RNAcentral. Lineage: Bacteria; Bacillati; Bacillota; Clostridia; Peptostreptococcales; Peptostreptococcaceae.
GGUCAAGUUAUUAAGGGUGCAGGGCGGAUGCCUUGGCACUAGGAGCCGAUGAAGGACGUGAUAAGCUGCGAUAAGCUUCGGGGAGUUGCACGUAAACUUUGAUCCGAAGAUUUCCGAAUGAGGAAACUCACUUAGAGUAAUGUCUAAGUAUCAUUAAGUGAAUACAUAGCUUAAUGAGGGGAACUCAGGGAACUGAAACAUCUAAGUACCUGAAGGAAGAGAAAGAAAUUCGAUUCCGUAAGUAGCGGCGAGCGAACGCGGAUUAGCCCAAACCAAUAAAGUUUUCUUUAUUGGGGUUGCGGACAUAUCAUAACGAAGAGGUAUCGUAAUUGAAGAGGUUUGGAAAGACCCACCACAGAAGGUAAUAGUCCUGUAUGUUAAACGAGAAGACUUUAGAUAUGAUCCAGAGUACCACGGGACACGUGAAACCCUGUGGGAAGCAGGAGGGACCACCCUCCAAGGCUAAAUACUACCUAGUGACCGAUAGCGUAUAGUACCGUGAGGGAAAGGUGAAAAGAACCCCGGGAGGGGAGUGAAAUAGAACCUGAAACCCUGCACUUACAAGCUGUGGAAGCACAUUUCUUGUGUGACCGCGUACUUUUUGUAGAACGGGCCAACGAGUUACGUU